RNAcentral lists this ribosomal RNA (492 nucleotides) under uncultured bacterium. Its description in RNAcentral is "partial 16S ribosomal RNA". It matches the Rfam family "Bacterial small subunit ribosomal RNA", at positions 29 to 507 of the family's 1533-position model. The record is from RNAcentral.
AGUGAACGCUGGCGGUAGGCCUAACACAUGCAAGUCGAACGGCAGCACAGUAAGAGCUUGCUCUUACGGGUGGCGAGUGGCGGACGGGUGAGGAAUACAUCGGAAUCUACUUUUUCGUGGGGGAUAACGUAGGGAAACUUACGCUAAUACCGCAUACGACCUACGGGUGAAAGCAGGGGAUCUUCGGACCUUGCGCGUUUGAAUGAGCCGAUGUCGGAUUAGCUAGUUGGCGGGGUAAAGGCCCACCAAGGCGACGAUCCGUAGCUGGUCUGAGAGGAUGAUCAGCCACACUGGAACUGAGACACGGUCCAGACUCCUACGGGAGGCAGCAGUGGGGAAUAUUGGACAAUGGGCGCAAGCCUGAUCCAGCUAUACCGCGUGGGUGAAGAAGGCCUUCGGGUUGUAAAGCCCUUUUGUUGGGAAAGAAAAGCAGCAGGUUAAUACCCCGCUGUUCUGACGGUACCCAAAGAAUAAGCACCGGCUAACUUCGUG